RNAcentral lists this ribosomal RNA (376 nucleotides) under uncultured bacterium. RNAcentral describes it as "bacterial SSU rRNA". It matches the Rfam family "Bacterial small subunit ribosomal RNA", at positions 524 to 898 of the family's 1533-position model. The record is from RNAcentral.
UACGUAGGUGGCAAGCGUUGUCCGGAUUUACUGGGCGUAAAGGGAGCGUAGGCGGAUACUUAAGUGGGAUGUGAAAUACCUGGGCUUAACUUGGGUGCUGCAUUCCAAACUGGGUGUCUAGAGUGUUGGAGAGGAAAGUGGAAUUCCUAGUGUAGCGGUGAAAUGCGUAGAGAUUAGGAAGAACACCAGUGGCGAAGGCGACUUUCUGGACAAUAACUGACGCUGAGGCUCGAAAGCGUGGGGAGCAAACAGGAUUAGAUACCCUGGUAGUCCACGCCGUAAACGAUGGGUACUAGGUGUAGGGGAUAUCGACUCCCCCUGUGCCGCCGUUAACACAAUAAGUACCCCGCCUGGGGAGUACGGUCGCAAGAUUAAA